CCUACGGGCGGCUGCAGUAGGGAAUCUUCCACAAUGGACGAAAGUCUGAUGGAGCAAAGCCGCGUGAGGGACGAAGGGUUCAGGCACGUAAAGCUCUGUUGGUAGUGAAGAAAGAUAGAGGUAGUAACUGGCCUUGAGUUGACGGUAAUUAAUUAGAAAGUCACGGCUAACUACGUGACAGCAGCCGGGGUAAUACGUAGGUGGCAAGCGUUGACCGGAUUUAUUGGGCGUAAAGGGAGUGCAGGCGGUUCGAUAAGUCUGAUGUGAAAGCCUUCGGCUCCACCGGAGAAUUGCAUCAGAAACUGUUGAACUUGAGUGCAGAAGAGGAGAGUGGAACUCCAUGUGUAGCGGUGGAAUGCGUAGAUAUAUGGAAGAACACCAGUGGCGAAGGCGGCUCUCUGGUCUGCAACUGACGCUGAGGCUCGAAAGCAUGGGUAGCGAACAGGAUUAGAUACCCUUGUAGUC
This 465-nucleotide ribosomal RNA is filed under the name uncultured bacterium. RNAcentral describes it as "partial 16S ribosomal RNA". It matches the Rfam family "Bacterial small subunit ribosomal RNA", at positions 338 to 795 of the family's 1533-position model. The record is from RNAcentral.